This 248-nucleotide unclassified non-coding RNA is filed under the name Hevea brasiliensis (rubber tree). Lineage: Eukaryota; Viridiplantae; Streptophyta; Magnoliopsida; Malpighiales; Euphorbiaceae. The record is from RNAcentral.
GGCCUUAAAGUUUAUAAAAAUUAAAAGAAAUAGAAAAUCAACACAUGAUCAUGCACGUGAAGACCUUUUGUUUAUGCAUGUCGAUAAAAAUAUGCAUCUGCAUAUUUGUAAAUAUAUAUAAACAGGUAAAUCCAUAAAAACAAAAGGUAUGGUAUGAGUAUCCAUGUAUCUUACACGAGGUAUGUCCAUUAAUUUGAGUAAGGGUGAUAGCUUUGGGCUGUGUCUUGAAAUUUAGACUUGCUCAAAAC